GGGAAUACUGCAAAGCUAGGGAGUGGGAGAGGUAGACGGUACUCGGUAGGAAGGGGUAAAAUCCUUUGAUCUAUUGAUGACCACCUGUGGCGAAGGCGGUCUACCAGAACACGUCCGACGGUGAGGGAUGAAAGCUGGGGGAGCAAACCGGAUUAGAUACCCGGGUAGUCCCAGCUGUAAACUAUGCAAACUCAGUGAUGCAUUGGCUUGUGGCUAAUGCAGUGCUGCAGGGAAGCCGUCAAGUUUGCCGCCUGGGAAGUACGUACGCAAGUAUGAAACUUAAAGGAAUUGGCGGGGGAGCACCACAAGGGGUGAAGCCUGCGGUUCAAUUGGAGUCAACGCCAGAAACCUUACCCGGAGAGACAGCAGAAUGGAGGUCAAGCUGAAGACUUUACCAGACAAGCUGAGAGGUGGUGCAUGGCCGUCGCCAGCUCGUGCCGUGAGAUGUCCUGUUAAGUCAGGUAACGAGCGAGAUCCCUGCCUCUAGUUGCCACCAUUACUCUCAGGAGUAGUGGGGCGAAUUAGCGGGACCGCCGCAGUUAAUGCGGAGGAAGGAAGGGGCCACGGCAGGUCAGUAUGCCCCGAAACUCUGGGGCCACACGCGGGCUGCAAUGGUAAUGACAAUGGGUCCCAAAUCCGAAAGGAGGAGGUAAUCCUCAAACAUUACCACAGUUAUGACUGAGGGCUGCAACUCGCCCUCACGAAUAUGGAAUCCCUAGUAACUGCGUGUCAUUAUCGCGCGGUGAAUACGUCCCUGCUCCUUGCACACACCGCCCGU
RNAcentral lists this ribosomal RNA (778 nucleotides) under uncultured archaeon. RNAcentral describes it as "bacterial SSU rRNA". It matches the Rfam family "Archaeal small subunit ribosomal RNA", at positions 577 to 1353 of the family's 1478-position model. The record is from RNAcentral.